CUGAAGGAGAAAAAUCAAAAUUUUUUGGACCUUCAGUGAAAAUAUAAUGAACAAGAGAUGAAGAUUUUUGAGCUGCAUACCUAAGUCGAGGAGAACAAAGAACUGGGGUCAAGGCUUAAAGAGACGGAGAAGGCCAAUGAAGCUCAUGAAAAAGCUAUUGAAGUACUUAAAAAGUAGCUCAAAUAGGAGCAAGAUAAAGUAGCAAGGGC
This 209-nucleotide long non-coding RNA is filed under the name Elaeis guineensis (African oil palm). RNAcentral describes it as "long non-coding RNA (EGUI_LNC021501)". Lineage: Eukaryota; Viridiplantae; Streptophyta; Magnoliopsida; Arecales; Arecaceae. The record is from RNAcentral.